Molecule: ribosomal RNA, 451 nt
Filed under: uncultured bacterium
Lineage: Bacteria
Description: bacterial SSU rRNA
Rfam family: Bacterial small subunit ribosomal RNA
Source: RNAcentral
AACGAACGCUGGCGGCAUGCCUAACACAUGCAAGUCGAACGGGAUCCUAGCUUGCUAGGUGAGAGUGGCGGACGGGUGAGUAACACGUGGGAAUCUGCCUUUUGGUUCGGGAUAACCGCGGGAAACUGCGGCUAAUACCGAAUGCCCUCGAGAGAGGAAAGAUUUAUCGCCAGAAGAGGAGCCCGCGUCCGAUUAGGUAGUUGGUGGGGUAAAGGCCUACCAAGCCGACGAUCGGUAGCUGGUCUGAGAGGAUGAUCAGCCACACUGGGACUGAGAUACGGCCCAGACUCCUACGGGAGGCAGCAGUGGGGAAUAUUGGACAAUGGGGGCAACCCUGAUCCAGCAAUGCCGCGUGAGUGAUGAAGGCCUUAGGGUUGUAAAGCUCUUUUGCCAGGGAAGAUGAUGACUGUACCUGGAGAAUAAGCCCCGGCUAACUUCGUGCCAGCAGCCG